GUGUUUCAUGGGAGUCUCAAGGUGGAGUUCCAUAGCCUUCUAGUAAAAUGUGGUAUAUUUCUCAGGGCUGACAAAAAAUAAAACUUUCUGAAAGUGGCAAUUUUUUCCUCAUAUGCUCAAAGGAAUCAACCUUGUACUACUAGGCAAAACCCCCUCUGCACUGCUGGACAAACAUUUGAGAGAACUGUUUGGCAAAGAUCCAACUCUUUUACCCUCCCACUGACCCCAUGAGGAAACAAACAAAAGAAAAGUCAUUGACAAUAAGGCAGUGGCAUAAACUGAUGAAGAGUAGGAUAUUCAGGGAGCUGAGCAAUCCUGAGAGCACAUGUGCACAACACAUCCUGUUGUUUGCUGCAAACAAGCCGAACCCCUCCAGCUGCAUGGACGGGAAGCUCGGAGCUGAGUGCCCAUGGCUGCACUCCACCCCCAUGCUGUGCCAGCACCCGACCAGGAUGAGAUCACAGUAUAUCCACUGA
Molecule: long non-coding RNA, 476 nt
Filed under: Numida meleagris (helmeted guineafowl)
Lineage: Eukaryota; Metazoa; Chordata; Aves; Galliformes; Numididae
Description: lncRNA (ENSNMEG00000022325.1)
Source: RNAcentral